Molecule: ribosomal RNA, 119 nt
Filed under: Pteropus alecto (black flying fox)
Lineage: Eukaryota; Metazoa; Chordata; Mammalia; Chiroptera; Pteropodidae
Source: RNAcentral
GUCUACAGCCAUGCCACCCUGAACGUGCCCAAUCUCAUCUGAUCUCGGAAGCUAAGCAGGGUCGGGCCUGGUUAGUACUUGAAUGGGGGACCACCUAGGAAGACCAGGUGCUGUAGGCC